This 463-nucleotide ribosomal RNA is filed under the name uncultured bacterium. Its description in RNAcentral is "bacterial SSU rRNA". It matches the Rfam family "Bacterial small subunit ribosomal RNA", at positions 1 to 507 of the family's 1533-position model. The record is from RNAcentral.
CGAUAUCGACGAGUUUGAUCCUGGCUACAGAACGAACGCUGGCGGCAUGCCUAACACAUGCAAGUCGACCGAGACCUUCGGGUCUAGUGGCGCACGGGUGCGUAACGCGUGGGAAUCUGCCCUUUGCUUCGGAAUAACACAGAGAAAUUUGUGCUAAUACCGGAUAAUGUCGCAAGACCAAAGAUUUAUCGGCAAAGGAUGAGCCCGCGUAAGAUUAGGUAGUUGGUGGGGUAAUGGCCUACCAAGCCGACGAUCUUUAGCUGGUCUGAGAGGAUGAUCAGCCACACUGGGACUGAGACACGGCCCAGACUCCUACGGGAGGCAGCAGUGGGGAAUAUUGGACAAUGGGCGCAAGCCUGAUCCAGCAAUGCCGCGUGAGUGAUGAAGGCCUUAGGGUUGUAAAGCUCUUUUACCAGGGAUGAUAAUGACAGUACCUGGAGAAUAAGCUCCGGCUAACUCCGUG